GUAAAUGUGGAAUAUAGUCACCUCCAAGUCCAAUUCACCCCAGCUGAAACACUAAAGUUACUAAUCUUCUGUUUUCAAAUUCUUUCUGCUUGAAAUAUUCCUUGCAUUUCACUGGGCAGACAGGUUCAACAAAAGCAGGAGGUAAAACUCAGCACAACUACCCUCGUUUAAGAAGUGAAUGCAGUGCCUUCUUAGAAAGCAAGGAAGAAGACUGUUCUUUACCUCUUGGUAAUUUUUGGAAAAACUUUACAGGGUGAUGAAGUGGCCUUGAGCAGCUUUGGAAAGUGAGAGGCAUCCUAGAUGCCCAACUGCCUUGUUCUUGUGGCAGGCCUUAGCAAACCUGAAAAGAAAGAGGCCAGGCAUGCAGGCUCAGUUAACAAUGGCCCUGGGACAGGAUACAGUGAGCAGGAGCUGGGCUUGUUUCAGCCCAGAAACAUGGCUGGAGACACAGACAGAGAGCUGUAUUUGUAUUUUCAGACACUGUAACUCUAAGGAAAAAAAACCCACUAAAUUACCAGUCAGAAGUGUGCAUUAAAAAAUAAAGAGCAUCCUUGUAGAGCAAAUGUGUUACUAAUAAUUAUUCUUUAACAUUGACUGCAGUAUAUAACUUCAGUAUUGAAAAAUAAAGAGGUGAAAAAUCUCUCACAUUUCUCCUCAGAACUGUACCUUAAUGGUGCUGCUGCCACCCACUACAGGGAAAGCCACUUGUGCAGUCACAGCAGCAGAAGCCUGUCACUAUGUGCAUUUAUGUAGAAGUAAAUAUUGGUCUUUGGGCACAAAUGAAAUAAAGGAUCAUUUCUCUCCAACUUGUUAGGAAUUGUUGACAGAAGUGACAUCACAAGAAAAAAUGUGUAAACUGAAAUAAACAUACCAGCUGCCAGGUUAGAGGAUAAGAGACUGGUGUCCACCCACAAAGAAGGAUGGGGACAAGGGCAGGUCCCCACUGCUCCCCUCAGCCUAGCAGUCAGAGCAACUCCUGCAGCAGUGAAGACUUUUUCCAGUUCAACUGGUUGCUGUAGAACCACAUCAAAAUUAUCAUUUCCAGCAUGGCCAGUACUGAGAGUUUCCUGGGUACUGCUGCAUUCAUUUUAGGAGCAAAGAGAGUUUAACCUUCCUCUGGACCUUGUCCUCUAGUUCCAACAUUGGUGCUGCCUCUCUGGCCUCUGACUUGCCUAGUGAUGUGAUCAUGCAACAUUUCUCAACCCAAUGGCCAAAAGAGUGCUUGUGCAGCUAAUUUUUUUCCUAAGUUUUGGUCAAAACACAAUCAAAUAAUCAUUGCUGUUCUUCCAGACUUUUCCACAAUAUGCUCCCACCACACUGGCAAAAAUUGAGUUACACCUGCCUAUCAGUGAUCCAUGACUUUAUGAUGCCAAACUCAUCACUUAUCAGGUUUCCCGUGGGUCACAGAGUCCAUCCUUGCUCACAGCUGAAAUGCUGCCUGCACACUACAUCCAGUUACAGCACCUGCACCAGCAGGGCACAGGGUGAGAAGCCUUCCAUGUUUUAACAAAAGCAAGGAUUCUGAGACCUGCACAACAGGAAUCCUGGUGUCCAGAGAGCAAAACACCUAGUCCAGGGCUGCAAGUAGCA
This is a non-coding RNA of Taeniopygia guttata (zebra finch), 1590 nucleotides long. NCBI's taxonomy places the organism in Eukaryota, Metazoa, Chordata, Aves, Passeriformes, Estrildidae. The record is from RefSeq and is a predicted model, not a curated record.